This 449-nucleotide ribosomal RNA is filed under the name uncultured bacterium. RNAcentral's name for it is "bacterial SSU rRNA". It matches the Rfam family "Bacterial small subunit ribosomal RNA", at positions 29 to 524 of the family's 1533-position model. The record is from RNAcentral.
AACGAGCGCUGGCGGCAGGCCUAACACAUGCAAGUCGAACGCCCUAGCAAUAGGGAGUGGCAGACGGGUGAGUAACACGUGGGAACCUUCCCUAUAGUACGGAAUAGCUCAGGGAAACUUGAAGUAAUACCGUAUACGCCCGAGAGGGGAAAGAUUUAUCGCUAUAGGAUGGGCCCGCGUCGGAUUAGCUAGUUGGUGAGGUAAUGGCUCACCAAGGCGACGAUCCGUAGCUGGUUUGAGAGAACGACCAGCCACACUGGGACUGAGACACGGCCCAGACUCCUACGGGAGGCAGCAGUGGGGAAUAUUGGACAAUGGGCGCAAGCCUGAUCCAGCCAUGCCGCGUGAGUGAUGAAGGCCUUAGGGUUGUAAAGCUCUUUUAGCAGGGAAGAUAAUGACUGUACCUGCAGAAUAAGCUCCGGCUAACUCGUGCCAGCAGCCGCGGUAAU